Molecule: long non-coding RNA, 2905 nt
Filed under: Malus domestica (apple)
Lineage: Eukaryota; Viridiplantae; Streptophyta; Magnoliopsida; Rosales; Rosaceae
Description: long non-coding RNA (MDOM_LNC019596)
Source: RNAcentral
UAUGUUGACUCAAGCGUGAGUAUGACUAGUCUCAAGUCAUUUAGUGUUGGACCCUAAAUCAAACACAUAGGUGCUCGAAAGAGUGAUCGAGUACACUGAACAACGAUCAAAAGAGAGUUCGAACGUACAUGUCAUGUAAGAACUCGAUAGUUGCAAUAUGCAAAGUAGUCCUUUGACCUGAGGUAUCAUAGAUGUCUAAUGGUUAGGUCCUUGAUCUUUGAUCAUGUCAAAGGCAUUCCAUUGAGAGUGUCCACGGCAUUGUUGGGGUCAAGCUAUCUAGUCAUGUAGGCAUAUGAAUGCGCAACAAGGGAUCUCUAACCUUCCAUGGUGGAAGGAGAAUAUUCUAAGAUAUGAUUCGAGAGUCUUUGGCCAAAGCAUAUGAAUAUGACUUAGGAAGUUUGUUCCAAAUCAUAUUCAACAGAAUCAUAUGGAGAAGUAUCACAUUGGAUAGUAGACAUGAAACAAACUAUCACUCAAACAAUGUGAUUAAGAGUAUUGUAUUAGAGAAGGACCGUAUUGCAUUGUAGUUGUAACUGGAUAGGUUCUCCAACCACUUAUACUUAGCUUGGGUAACCAUGACAUGCUGCUAGGUGUCACUCAUGGUUUGCGGAAGCCUUGAAGAUUAGCAAACACUAAUUAAAGGGAGAAUUGAAAUAGUUUCAAUUCACAAUCGAUCGUUAAGAGUAACAAUCGCCCAUUACCUCGUUAAUUGGAACCUAAUGGAUCGUACACCGAGAAAGGAUUAAAGUGAAGAAAUAAAUGAGAUGGAUAUGCAAUUAAAUUGUUUAAUUGAAAAAUGGUCAAGAUUAAUUAAUUAGUUAAUUAAUUAUACAAAAUGUUCGUAUUAGGCUUUUAAGUUAGUUUUGGGCUUCGGGGCCCAACAGCGUUUUGGUCCACAAGGCCCAUUAUGUUUAAGUUGUAUGACAACUAAAACAAAAUGGGCAAAUUAGCCCAAUAACAAGGUAAGGCCGGCCAUAGGGUAAGGGGAUGCAAACUUGGAUUAAUUACAAGUUUGCCACUCACUUGUGGUGAAGUAUAAAAACAACUUUAUAGCUUUAUGUUCAUUAGGGUUUUCUUGAUGGAAAGGAAGUGAAACAUUUUCUCUCCUUUUAUCUAUAGAGGCCGGCCACUUAGAGGAAUUUUAGCUAGCAAUUUAAUCUUCUCUAAGUCAUCCAUUUCAUCUUCACACUACAUCCUUAGUGUGGAGACUUAGAGACAUCAAGCUUUUGGUGUUUUGGAGAUUCUAUCCUCAAAUCCUCAAAGGAAGAUCCAAGGAGCAAGGAGGUGACUUGAAGGCCCUCCACUUGGGUGAAUCCCUUGUGUAAUCAAGGAUGAGCUUCAAGGGUAAAGAAUCUCUAAAUCUUUUCUUCUCUUUAAGUUUGUUAAAGAGUUUAUUGGUUCACCAUAUACUAGGCUUUGAAAGUCAUGGGUUUUAUGAAUUGUUUUUUAAUGCAUGCCUACUUUAAUGUGUUAAUAGUUUGCAUAUGUAUUCAAAUGUUCUUACUUGUUCUUAGCUAGGACAAAAUUCUUCCAUAUACAAGAAGGCUAGAGGCAGUGUGUUCUCUAGCCUAUUUUCUGUGUUUGCCCUCUCUAAGAUGUUUUCUCUCUUCCCAUGGCCUAAACUUUGACCUCUCAUAAUGAAGAGAGUAAGGAGUCCUUUUAUAGAUUGAGGGAAUAAGGGCUCCUCACUUAUUACAUAUUUGCCCCUUCAUUUAUUACAUAAUUACAUUUGAGUCUCCUGAGUAUUUAUACGAGGUCUAUAUACGGUGGCCCUAAAUAUGGUACAAACAGUAGUCCCCCAAGUCUUCCGUCAAGAGAGUCUUUUGCCUAGAGACUUGAAAUUCAGUCUAUGUGUGGGCCAAAGUAACUAGAUGUCGUCUAGAACUGAUUCUCGAUAUGAAGCGGUGCUCAAUGUGAAAUGAUGCUCAACUAGAAGUAGCACAUGUUGCGAGGCUGUUCGGCUUGUGGCGUUAAAGGUGAGGUAGUCCCUUUUAUAGAAUAAGGGCUCGCUCUUUAAUACAUAAAUGAUGGGCUAGAGUUGAUGCUCGCGGCGAGGCGGUUGCUCAAUAGGCGGCGAUGCUCUCUGAUGAUGGUGAAGGAGUCCCUUUUAUAGAAUAAAGGCUCGCUCCUUAAUACAUAAGUGAUGGGUUAGGAGUGAUGCUCGCGGUGAUGCGGUUGCUUAGUAGGCGGCGAUGCUCUCUAAUGAUGGUGAGGGAGUCCCUUUUAUAGAAUAAGGGCUCGCUCGUUCCUCAACACAUAAGUGAUGGGCUAGAAGUCUUUCUUUAAUGAAGGUGAGGGAGUCCCUUUUAUAAAAUAAGGGUUCGCUCCUCAAUACAUGAAUAUGGGUGCUCUCUAAUGAAGGUGAGGGAGUCCCUUUUAUAAAAUAAGGGUUUGCUCCUCAAUACAUGAAUAAUGGAUGCUCUCUAAUGAAAGUGAGAGAGUCCCUUUUAUAGAAUAAGGGUUCGCUCCUCAGUACAUAAAUAAUGGGCUAAGUCCCCCAAGUAUUUUUCAUGAAGCCCAGUUGCAGAAGCCCAAUAAAUGGUACAUAGUGUAGUCCCCCAAGUCUUCAGUCAAUAGAGUUUGUUGGCUGGAGACUUCAAAUUCAAUCCAUGUAUGGGCCGAAGUGGCGGUUGUUCGGAUACGGUCUUUGUAUACCAUACACUGAAGCUUUGUAGGUGAAGCUUUGAAGCUUGAGCUUUUGUAAUUGAAGCUUUCGAAGCUGGAGCUUUGUAAAUGAAGCUUUUGAAGCUGGAGCUCUAUAAAUGAAGCUUUCGAAACUAGAGCUCUGUAAAUGAAGCUUUCGAAGCUGAUUGACAUGAGUGAUGCUCAUGAUGUUGGAAAUGUGCCCUAAAGCCAAUCAUGUGAUGAUACUUUACGGACAUUUCACAUGUUAAACUAAUCUAGU